GGGAUUGCCUUAGUAACGGCGAGUGAAGCGGCAACAGCUCAAAUUUGAAAGCUGGCUCCUUCGGAGUCCGCAUUGUAAUUUGUAGAGGAUGAUUCGGCGAGGGCUCCCGCCUAAGUCCACUGGAACGUGGCGUCAUAGAGGGUGAGAAUCCCGUAUGCGGUGGGUUGCCUUAGCCAUGUGAAUCUCCUUCGACGAGUCGAGUUGUUUGGGAAUGCAGCUCUAAAUGGGAGGUAAAUUUCUUCUAAAGCUAAAUACCGGCCAGAGACCGAUAGCGCACAAGUAGAGUGAUCGAAAGAUGAAAAGCACUUUGGAAAGAGAGUUAAAAAGUACGUGAAAUUGUUGAAAGGGAAGGGCUUGCAACCAGACUUGUCCGCAGUUGCUCAGCCGGUCUCCUGACCGGCGUACUCUUCUGCGGCCAGGCCAGCAUCAGUUCGGGCGGUCGGAUAAAGACCUAGGGAAUGUAGCUCCUCUCGGGGAGUGUUAUAGCCCUGGGUGGAAUGCGGCCAGCCUGGACUGAGGAUCUCGCUUCGGCUAGGAUGCUGGCGUAAUGGUUGUAAGCCGCCCGUCUUGAAACACGGACCAAGGAGUCUAACAUCUAUGCGAGUGUUUGGGUGUCAAACCCAUACGCGUAAUGAAAGUGAACGGAGGUGGGAACCCGCAAGGGCGCACCAUCGGCCGAUCCUGAUGUCUUCGGAUGGAUUUGAGCAAGAGCAUAGCUGUUGGGACCCGAAAGAUGGUGAACUAUGCCUGAAUAGGGUGAAGCCAGAGGAAACUCUGGUGGAGGCUCGCAGCGGUUCUGACGUGCAAAUCGAUCGUCAAAUUUGGGUAUAGGGGCGAAA
This 839-nucleotide ribosomal RNA is filed under the name Phaeobotryon rhois. RNAcentral's name for it is "LSU rRNA". It matches the Rfam family "Eukaryotic large subunit ribosomal RNA", at positions 71 to 928 of the family's 3401-position model. The record is from RNAcentral. Lineage: Eukaryota; Fungi; Ascomycota; Dothideomycetes; Botryosphaeriales; Botryosphaeriaceae.